CCUACGGGUGGCAGCAGUAGGGGAUCUUGCACAAUGGGGGAAACCCUGACGCAGCGACGCCGCGUGAGUGAAGAAGUAUUUCGGUUUGUAAAGCUCUAUUAGCAGGGAAGAAAAUGACAGUACCUGAACAAGUAGCCCCGGCUAACUACGUGCCAGCAGCCGCGGUAAUACGUAGGGGCCAAGCGUUAUCCGGAUUUGCUGGGGGUAAAGGGUGCGUAGACGGGUAUGUAAGUCUGGAGUGAAAGCCCGGGGCCCAACCCUGAGACUGCUUUGGAAACUGUGUAACUGGAGUACAGGAGGGGCAGGCGGAAUUCCUGGUGUAGCGGUGAAAUGCGUAGAUAUCAGGAGGAACACCGGCGGCGAAGGCGGCCUGCUGGACUGAAACUGACGUUGAGGCUCGAAAGCGUGGGGAGCAAACAGGAUUAGAUACCCGGGUAGUC
RNAcentral lists this ribosomal RNA (440 nucleotides) under uncultured bacterium. RNAcentral describes it as "partial 16S ribosomal RNA". It matches the Rfam family "Bacterial small subunit ribosomal RNA", at positions 338 to 795 of the family's 1533-position model. The record is from RNAcentral.